CCUACGGGUCGCAGCAGUGGGGAAUUUUCCGCAAUGGGCGAAAGCCUGAUCCAGCCAUGCCGCGUGAGUGAAGAAGGCCUUAGGGUUGUAAAGCUCUUUCACCGGUGAAGAUAAUGACGGUAACCGGAGAAGAAGCCCCGGCUAACUUCGUGCCAGCAGCCGCGGUAAUACGAAGGGGGCUAGCGUUGUUCGGAAUUACUGGGCGUAAAGCGCGCGUAGGCGGAUAGAUAAGUCAGAGGUGAAAUCCCGGGGCUCAACCCCGGAAUUGCCUUUGAUACUGUUUAUCUUGAGUGCAGAAGGGGUAAGUGGAAUUCCGAGUGUAGAGGUGAAAUUCGUAGAUAUUCGGAGGAACACCAGUGGCGAAGGCGGCUUGCUGGUCUGCAACUGACGCUGAGGCGCGAAAGCGUGGGGAGCAAACAGGAUUAGAUACCC
This 432-nucleotide ribosomal RNA is filed under the name uncultured bacterium. RNAcentral describes it as "bacterial SSU rRNA". It matches the Rfam family "Bacterial small subunit ribosomal RNA", at positions 338 to 787 of the family's 1533-position model. The record is from RNAcentral.